Molecule: ribosomal RNA, 381 nt
Filed under: uncultured bacterium
Lineage: Bacteria
Description: bacterial SSU rRNA
Rfam family: Bacterial small subunit ribosomal RNA
Source: RNAcentral
GACGAACGCUGGCGGCGUGCUUAACACAUGCAAGUCGAGCGGUAAGGCCCUUUCGGGGGUACACGAGCGGCGAACGGGUGAGUAACACGUGGGUGACCUGCCCUUAGCUCUGGGAUAAGCCUGGGAAACUGGGUCUAAUACCGGAUAUGACUCCAUAACGCAUGUUGUGGGGUGGAAAGCCUUGUGCGGCUAGGGAUGGGCCCGCGGCCUAUCAGCUUGUUGGUGGGGUGAUGGCCACCAAGGCGACGACGGGUAGCCGGCCUGAGAGGGCAACCGGCCACACUGGGACUGAGACACGGCCCAGACUCCUACGGGAGGCAGCAGUGGGGAAUCUUGCGCAAUGGGCGAAAGCCUGACGCAGCGACGCCGCGUGGGGAUGAC